Molecule: ribosomal RNA, 2920 nt
Filed under: Staphylococcus aureus
Lineage: Bacteria; Bacillati; Bacillota; Bacilli; Caryophanales; Staphylococcaceae
Description: 23S ribosomal RNA
Rfam family: Bacterial large subunit ribosomal RNA
Source: RNAcentral
UUAAGUUAUUAAGGGCGCACGGUGGAUGCCUUGGCACUAGAAGCCGAUGAAGGACGUUACUAACGACGAUAUGCUUUGGGGAGCUGUAAGUAAGCUUUGAUCCAGAGAUUUCCGAAUGGGGAAACCCAGCAUGAGUUAUGUCAUGUUAUCGAUAUGUGAAUACAUAGCAUAUCAGAAGGCACACCCGGAGAACUGAAACAUCUUAGUACCCGGAGGAAGAGAAAGAAAAUUCGAUUCCCUUAGUAGCGGCGAGCGAACGGGAAGAGCCCAAACCAACAAACUUGCUUGUUGGGGUUGUAGGACACUCUAUACGGAGUUACAAAGGACGACAUUAGACGAAUCAUCUGGAAAGAUGAAUCAAAGAAGGUAAUAAUCCUGUAGUCGAAAAUGUUGUCUCUCUUGAGUGGAUCCUGAGUACGACGGAGCACGUGAAAUUCCGUCGGAAUCUGGGAGGACCAUCUCCUAAGGCUAAAUACUCUCUAGUGACCGAUAGUGAACCAGUACCGUGAGGGAAAGGUGAAAAGCACCCCGGAAGGGGAGUGAAAUAGAACCUGAAACCGUGUGCUUACAAGUAGUCAGAGCCCGUUAAUGGGUGAUGGCGUGCCUUUUGUAGAAUGAACCGGCGAGUUACGAUUUGAUGCAAGGUUAAGCAGUAAAUGUGGAGCCGUAGCGAAAGCGAGUCUGAAUAGGGCGUUUAGUAUUUGGUCGUAGACCCGAAACCAGGUGAUCUACCCUUGGUCAGGUUGAAGUUCAGGUAACACUGAAUGGAGGACCGAACCGACUUACGUUGAAAAGUGAGCGGAUGAACUGAGGGUAGCGGAGAAAUUUCAAUCGAACCUGGAGAUAGCUGGUUCUCUCCGAAAUAGCUUUAGGGCUAGCCUCAAGUGAUGAUUAUUGGAGGUAGAGCACUGUUUGGACGAGGGGCCCCUCUCGGGUUACCGAAUUCAGACAAACUCCGAAUGCCAAUUAAUUUAACUUGGGAGUCAGAACAUGGGUGAUAAGGUCCGUGUUCGAAAGGGAAACAGCCCAGACCACCAGCUAAGGUCCCAAAAUAUAUGUUAAGUGGAAAAGGAUGUGGCGUUGCCCAGACAACUAGGAUGUUGGCUUAGAAGCAGCCAUCAUUUAAAGAGUGCGUAAUAGCUCACUAGUCGAGUGACACUGCGCCGAAAAUGUACCGGGGCUAAACAUAUUACCGAAGCUGUGGAUUGUCCUUUGGACAAUGGUAGGAGAGCGUUCUAAGGGCGUUGAAGCAUGAUCGUAAGGACAUGUGGAGCGCUUAGAAGUGAGAAUGCCGGUGUGAGUAGCGAAAGACGGGCGAGAAUCCCGUCCACCGAUUGACUAAGGUUUCCAGAGGAAGGCUCGUCCGCUCUGGGUUAGUCGGGUCCUAAGCUGAGGCCGACAGGCGUAGGCGAUGGAUAACAGGUUGAUAUUCCUGUACCACCUAUAAUCGUUUUAAUCGAUGGGGGGACGCAGUAGGAUAGGCGAAGCGUGCGAUUGGAUUGCACGUCUAAGCAGUAAGGCUGAGUAUUAGGCAAAUCCGGUACUCGUUAAGGCUGAGCUGUGAUGGGGAGAAGACAUUGUGUCUUCGAGUCGUUGAUUUCACACUGCCGAGAAAAGCCUCUAGAUAGAAAAUAGGUGCCCGUACCGCAAACCGACACAGGUAGUCAAGAUGAGAAUUCUAAGGUGAGCGAGCGAACUCUCGUUAAGGAACUCGGCAAAAUGACCCCGUAACUUCGGGAGAAGGGGUGCUCUUUAGGAUUAACGCCCAGAAGAGCCGCAGUGAAUAGGCCCAAGCGACUGUUUAUCAAAAACACAGGUCUCUGCUAAACCGUAAGGUGAUGUAUAGGGGCUGACGCCUGCCCGGUGCUGGAAGGUUAAGAGGAGUGGUUAGCUUCUGCGAAGCUACGAAUCGAAGCCCCAGUAAACGGCGGGCGGAACUAUAACGGUCCUAAGGUAGCGAAAUUCCUUGUCGGGUAAGUUCCGACCCGCACGAAAGGCGUAACGAUUUGGGCACUGUCUCAACGAGAGACUCGGUGAAAUCAUAGUACCUGUGAAGAUGCAGGUUACCCGCGACAGGACGGAAAGACCCCGUGGAGCUUUACUGUAGCCUGAUAUUGAAAUUCGGCACAGCUUGUACAGGAUAGGGAGGAGCCUUUGAAACGUGAGCGCUAGCUUACGUGGAGGCGCUGGUGGGAUACUACCCUAGCUGUGUUGGCUUUCUAACCCGCACCACUUAUCGUGGUGGGAGACAGUGUCAGGCGGGCAGUUUGACUGGGGCGGUGGGCUCCUAAAAGGUAACGGAGGCGCUCAAAGGUUCCCUCAGAAUGGUUGGAAAUCAUUCAUAGAGUGUAAAGGCAUAAGGGAGCUUGACUGCGAGACCUACAAGUCGAGCAGGGUCGAAAGACGGACUUAGUGAUCCGGUGGUUCCGCAUGGAAGGGCCAUCGCUCAACGGAUAAAAGCUACCCCGGGGAUAACAGGCUUAUCUCCCCCAAGAGUUCACAUCGACGGGGAGGUUUGGCACCUCGAUGUCGGCUCAUCGCAUCCUGGGGCUGUAGUCGGUCCCAAGGGUUGGGCUGUUCGCCCAUUAAAGCGGUACGCGAGCUGGGUUCAGAACGUCGUGAGACAGUUCGGUCCCUAUCCGUCGUGGGCGUAGGAAAUUUGAGAGGAGCUGUCCUUAGUACGAGAGGACCGGGAUGGACAUACCUCUGGUGUACCAGUUGUCGUGCCAACGGCAUAGCUGGGUAGCUAUGUGUGGACGGGAUAAGUGCUGAAAGCAUCUAAGCAUGAAGCCCCCCUCAAGAUGAGAUUUCCCAACUUCGGUUAUAAGAUCCCUCAAAGAUGAUGAGGUUAAUAGGUUCGAGGUGGAAGCAUGGUGACAUGUGGAGCUGACGAAUACUAAUCGAUCGAAGACUUAAUCAA